Molecule: long non-coding RNA, 1567 nt
Organism: Tetranychus urticae (two-spotted spider mite)
Lineage: Eukaryota; Metazoa; Arthropoda; Arachnida; Trombidiformes; Tetranychidae
Source: RefSeq, a predicted model, not a curated record
GUUAUAGCUGUUAACCUUUUACACGUUUUGCUUCUAUUGUUUAGGACCUUUUGUAAGUGCUCUAGUUGGACUUAACUGGACUCAUUUUACAAUUUAAUCAUUGUAUUUUGGAUUUAUGUUGUUAAUGUUGAUCCUAUCAAUUUACUGGUUUGGUUGAUGCUGUUGAAAAAGAGGCGAUUCAAUCAAUAGCUGUGAUUAACUGGAAAGUCUGUGCUUCAGUCGUAUCUCUCUGUGGUGAUCCUUUAAGCUUUACAAUAAGUUUUCAGUUUUGUCUUUUGUUUGGUGGACCAAUUGCAAGGGUAAACAUGGAUUUCCCAGUUUAAUUGGCUUCAAUAUCAUCUAAUAUCAUGUGUUAGAUACAGUUUACUGUAAUUUAACCUCAUUUUGUUUAAUGGUAAAUCACAAGUCUAAUUGGUUGGAUGGGAAAUAUCAAAAUCAACUUGAACGGCAACAUCAGUAGGAACAACAUCAAACAAGCUCAUCUUUCUUGCUUCCAUUCAUUCACCUAUUCAUCUUAUUAUUUAACCAAAUCAAGAUGAGAUUAUGAAGGCUUCCAACUGUGAGAUUGCAUUAAAGGUGAAUAACAAGAUGAAUUAAAUGAUGAAAUGGAAGAAAGAUUGACUCAAUUAAUUGACCCAUUAUUGCCUAAACAAAUACACGUAAAUGAUUAAUAAUUCAAUUUUUCCUCUACUGUGCCAUCACUAUUUCAUUAAAUUAACAGCCUAUCAGUAUUUAAAGGUUACACUGGAAAAGAUGUAUGAAAAACAUGGAACAACAAGUUAACAAGGGAUUGAAGAUGAACUCAAGAAUAGGAAUCGUUUCUCGGUGAGAGUUUGGAUGUUAUAUUGUUAACUGUUUCUGGUUGAAUGGAAGUGCCAAUUAUCUAACCUGGCAAUUAAAUUAAAUGCGUUCCCAGUGAUCAAAUUGAAUAUCUUUUGGGUUUUCAAUUGAAAGUUGUGAAACCAUGAAACUAAGAUGACAGGGAGAAAAAUGGAAACUCCAAUUAAAUAGAUGUAUUUAAGUUGAUAAUGCAGAAUCCAAUACGGCUAAUAAUAAGCUCAAUUGUGAACAUAAUUAUCUGAUUGAACCUGUGGGAAUCUACGGACAUGAAAUUUAACCUUUUUUGUCAGACUGAAUUUAACGAGAUCUUUUCAUGAUGAUGAUUAUAAUGAUCAUCGGUUUUUUUUUCAUCUUUUUUUUCAACCUGAUAAAGUGUCUUGACAUUUAUAAUAAUAAUUGUAUUUUUACUCUGAACAAAUGUUGAAAUUGUUAACAAGAUAAAGAUUAAUUCUGUUGGUUUCUCCUUUUUUGUUCAUUGUAUUAAUAACCCAAGUGAAUGAACACAAAAGUGUAACUCUUCUCACAAUUUUGUUUCCAAUUAACCAUCUAAUUGUUGUUGAUGUUACCCACUGUUAUUAUCAGCGGAUUAAUUGCAUUAUUUUGCUGGUUAACUCAAUGAUUCUGAUUAAUUCAAAAUGCUUUUCAAAAGGUUACAUUUUUCAUUUUGUCAACCUGUUUGUCUUUCUGUUUAUCAAUCAGAUUAAAUUAACUGUCUUUCAUUGUUAAA